This 497-nucleotide ribosomal RNA is filed under the name uncultured bacterium. Its description in RNAcentral is "partial 16S ribosomal RNA". It matches the Rfam family "Bacterial small subunit ribosomal RNA", at positions 28 to 507 of the family's 1533-position model. The record is from RNAcentral.
GAUGAACGCUGGCGGCGUGCCUAAUACAUGCAAGUCGAGCGAACAGAUGAGGAGCUUGCUCCUCUGACGUUAGCGGCGGACGGGUGAGUAACACGUGGAUAACCUACCUAUAAGACUGGGAUAACUUCGGGAAACCGGAGCUAAUACCGGAUAAUAUAUUGAACCGCAUGGUUCAAUAGUGAAAGACGGUUUUGCUGUCACUUAUAGAUGGAUCCGCGCCGCAUUAGCUAGUUGGUAAGGUAACGGCUUACCAAGGCAACGAUGCGUAGCCGACCUGAGAGGGUGAUAGGCCACACUGGAACUGAGACACGGUCCAGACUCCUACGGGAGGCAGCAGUAGGGAAUCUUCCGCAAUGGGCGAAAGCCUGACGGAGCAACGCCGCGUGAGUGAUGAAGGUCUUCGGAUCGUAAAACUCUGUUAUUAGGGAAGAACAAAUGUGUAAGUAAAUAUGCACGUCUUGACGGUACCUAAUCAGAAAGCAACGGCUAACUACGUG